UGGGGAAUAUUGGGCAAUGGGCGAAAGCCUGACCCAGCAACGCCGCGUGAGGGAAGAAGGUUUUCGGAUCGUAAACCUCUGUCCUUGGGGACGAAAGAAAUGACGGUACCCAAGGAGGCAGCCACGGCUAACUACGUGACAGCAGCCGCGGUAAUACGUAGGGGGCGAGCGUUGGCCGGAAUGAAUGGGCGUAAAGGGCGCGUAGGCGGCCUGUUAAGUCUGGAGUGAAAUUCCUGGUGUCAAGGUAGGAAGUGCUUUGGAAACUGGCGGGCUGGAGUGCAGGAGAGGUUAGCGGAAUUCCCGGUGUAGCGGUGAAAUGCGUAGAGAUCGGGAGGAACACCAGUGGCGAAGGCGGCUAACUGGACUGUAACUGACGCUGAAGCGCGAAAGUGUGGGGAGCAAACAGG
Molecule: ribosomal RNA, 407 nt
Filed under: uncultured prokaryote
Also listed under: 1 other name
Description: bacterial SSU rRNA
Rfam family: Bacterial small subunit ribosomal RNA
Source: RNAcentral